CCUACGGGUGGCUGCAGUGGGGAAUCUUGCGCAAUGGGCGAAAGCCUGACGCAGCGACGCCGCGUGGGUGAUGAAGGCCUUCGGGUUGUAAAGCUCUGUGGGGAGAGACGAAUAAGACGUGGCUAACAUCCACGGCGAUGACGGUAUCUCCUUAGCAAGCACCGGCUAACUCUGUGCCAGCAGCCGCGGUAAGACAGAGGGUGCAAACGUUGUUCGGAAUUACUGGGCGUAGAGCGUGUGUAGGCGGCGUGAAAGCCCGGGGCUCAACCCCGGAAGUGCAUUCAAAACUGCGUGGCUUGAGUAUCGGAGAGGUUGGUGGAAUUCUCGGUGUAGAGGUGAAAUUCGUAGAUAUCGAGAGGAACACCGGUGGCGAAGGCGGCCAACUGGACGAAUACUGACGCUGAGACACGAAAGCGUGGGGAGCAAACAGGAUUAGAUACCCGUGUAGUC
This 450-nucleotide ribosomal RNA is filed under the name uncultured bacterium. Its description in RNAcentral is "partial 16S ribosomal RNA". It matches the Rfam family "Bacterial small subunit ribosomal RNA", at positions 338 to 795 of the family's 1533-position model. The record is from RNAcentral.